GUGCAAGGAAAAGGCAUGGUGAUGCCUAGAACAGGAAGGCUGCAGGACAUCUUCGACAGGCUGCUGCUCCUACUUCAGAAGGAGUUCUGAACCACUUCCAAAUCAGAUAGAGAUCUAAUUUUUUGAGCAUAGAUUCAUAAGGAGAAGACAUUCUAGGUCCUAUCUGAGUGGAUUCUGGUAGAGGUCAGGCGCUUGCGUGGCUACAUCAGAAUCUUGGGCUGUGCU
Molecule: long non-coding RNA, 225 nt
Filed under: Elaeis guineensis (African oil palm)
Lineage: Eukaryota; Viridiplantae; Streptophyta; Magnoliopsida; Arecales; Arecaceae
Description: long non-coding RNA (EGUI_LNC052187)
Source: RNAcentral